AACGCUAGCUACAGGCUUAACACAUGCAAGUCGAGGGGCAGCAUGUAUUUCCGCUUGCGGAGAUAUGAUGGCGACCGGCGCACGGGUGAGUAACGCGUAUCCAACCUGCCCCAUACUUGGGAACAGCCCUCCGAAAGGAGGAUUAAUGCCCGAUGUGGUCCAUUGAAGGCAUCUGAUUUGGAUUAAAGAUUUAUCGGUAUGGGAUGGGGAUGCGUCUGAUUAGGAAGUUGGCGGGGUAACGGCCCACCAAUCCAUCGAUCAGUAGGGGUUCUGAGAGGAAGGUCCCCCACAUUGGAACUGAGACACGGUCCAAACUCCUACGGGAGGCAGCAGUGAGGAAUAUUGGUCAAUGGCCGAGAGGCUGAACCAGCCAAGUAGCGUGCAGGACGACGGCCCUAUGGGUUGUAAACUGCUUUUAUGCGGGGAUAACGGACAUUACGAGUAGUGUUUUGCAGGUACCGCAUGAAUAAGGACCGGCUAAUUCCGUGCCAGCAGCCGCGGUAAUACGGAAGGUCCGGGCGUUAUCCGGAUUUAUUGGGUUUAAAGGGAGCGUAGGCCGGCUCUUAAGCGUGCCGUGAAAUGUCGGGGCUCAACCCUGGCACUGCGGCGCGAACUGGGGGCCUUGAGUGCGCGGAACGUAUGCGGAAUUCGUGGUGUAGCGGUGAAAUGCUUAGAUAUCACGAAGAACUCCGAUUG
RNAcentral lists this ribosomal RNA (696 nucleotides) under uncultured bacterium. Its description in RNAcentral is "bacterial SSU rRNA". It matches the Rfam family "Bacterial small subunit ribosomal RNA", at positions 32 to 715 of the family's 1533-position model. The record is from RNAcentral.